Molecule: ribosomal RNA, 896 nt
Filed under: uncultured bacterium
Lineage: Bacteria
Description: bacterial SSU rRNA
Rfam family: Bacterial small subunit ribosomal RNA
Source: RNAcentral
UGAAAUCCCAGAGCUUAACUCUGGAACUGCCAUCAAAACUUUUCAGCUAGAGUAUGAUAGAGGAAAGCAGAAUUUCUAGUGUAGAGGUGAAAUUCGUAGAUAUUAGAAAGAAUACCAAUUGCGAAGGCAGCUUUCUGGAUCAUUACUGACACUGAGGAACGAAAGCAUGGGUAGCGAAGAGGAUUAGAUACCCUCGUAGUCCAUGCCGUAAACGAUGUGUGUUAGACGUUGGAAAUUUAUUUUCAGUGUCGCAGGGAAACCGAUAAACACACCGCCUGGGGAGUACGACCGCAAGGUUAAAACUCAAAUGAAUUGACGGGGACCCGCACAAGUAGUGGAGCAUGUGGUUUAAUUCGAAGAUACGCGCAGAACCUUACCAACACUUGACAUGUUCGUCGCGACUCUAAGAGAUUAGAGUUUUCGGUUCGGCUGGACGAAACACAGGUGCUGCAUGGCUGUCGUCAGCUCGUGUCGUGAGAUGUUGGGUUAAGUCCCGCAACGAGCGCAACCCUCACUUUUAGUUGCCAUCAUUAAGUUGGGCACUCUGAAAGAACUGCCAGUGAUAAGCUGGAGGAAGGUGGGGAUGACGUCAAGUCCUCAUGGCCCUUACGUGUUGGGCUACACACGUGCUACAAUGGCAUCUACAAUAGGAAGCAAAACGGCAACGUUAAGCAAAUCCCGAAAAGAUGCCUCAGUUCGGAUUGCACUCUGCAACUCGAGUGCAUGAAGCUGGAAUUACUAGUAAUCGUGGAUCAGCGUGCCACGGUGAAUGCGUUCCCGGGUCUUGUACACACCGCCCGUCACACCAUGGGAGUUGGUUCUACCUUAAGGCAAGGUUUUAAACCCUUGACCACGGUAUAGUCAGCGACUGGGGUGAAGUCGUAACAAGGUAACCA